CUUGAAUUCUGUCCCUCCAAGGAGAGGGCAAUGCCUGAGCCCACGGAAGUUGGGUCAGGGGCAGCAUUGGAAGUCAGAGCCUGCAAUGCUCACGUAAAUGCAAAAGAUGGUUCCUUCAGUGCCAGUAAGAAGGCUGUCUUGAACAUGAGGAAUACAGCAGCAAGCAAGACAGAGAGGUGCCUGCUUUCUGGGGAGACAACAAACAGAUAAAUAAGCACAACACUGUCCUGCCAAGCUAAGUGACAUCAAUGAAACAAGGCAAGGUAAUAAGAAGAGGCUGGGAAAAGGCUUAGCUGUGAUUUUGCUUUCUGCAGUUUGAGUUGCCUAUGUUCAACAGAGGUUCAAAAAUAUUAAAUGGAACAUUUCAGAAAUAAACAAUCCUAAGUUUAAAUUGCAUGCCAUUCUGAGCAGCGUGAUGAUAUCUUGCGCCAUCUCUCCCAGUCCUGCCCCGGAGAUGAAUCAUCCCUUUGUCCAGCGUGUCCACACGGUACAUGCUCCAGGCCCGUUAGUUACUUAGUAGCCAUCUCAGUUUUUCGGAUGACGUCGAGGUAUGGCAGGGUUUGUGUUCAAAGUCACCCUUGUUUUACUUAACAAUAGCUUCAAAGCACAAGCAUAGUGAUGCUGGCAAUUUGGAUAUGCCAAAGAGAAGCUACAAGGUGCUUUAAGGGGAAAAGUGAAAGUUGUGGACUUAAUCAGCAACCUUAGCUGAGGUUGCUAAGAUCUGUGAUAACAAGGAAGCUUUGAUUCAUGAAAUUCUGGAGAUGGAAAAAAGAAAUAUAUGCUAGUUUUGCUGUCACACCUCGGACUGCAAAGUAAUGGCCAUGGUGCAUGAUAAGAGCUUAGUUAAGAUGGAAAAGGCAUUAACUCUGUGGAUAAAAACAUGAAGAGACAUGUGUUCUGAUUGAUGGCAAUAAGGAUCAGUAUUAUCCGUGGUCCCAGGCAUGCACUGGAGGUGUUGGAAUGUAUCCCCCAUGGAUAAGGGGAGACUAUCGUAUCCUUGAUUGGGGCAUUGCUACAUGGAUGUAUACGUUUGGCCAAACUCUCCAAACUGAACACUUAAGAUAGGUACCUUGGAGUUGACAGCCAUGUGCUCAGAGGAGAAUGAAGCAAACCAACCAAAAGCCAACCCCAAACACCCAAUGGCCUGAGCUCCUCAGAGCAAGAAAAGUCAAGUUGAAUAUCUCAGAUGGGGCCGUCAGAGAAUGGAGAUGACCUCAUCCACAGUGGGACAAGUUGGAGCAAAUCACUUGGAUGGAAAGCAAGGAAAUAGAGGGGCAAUUUCAGCAUGUCCCUCAGGCUUCCACAGAGGAAGGUUUGGCCUUCCAAAUUCCCAAAGGGCUUCUCUCCUGGGACGCACUGUCUCUGCAGAGGUGAAAACACUCUUUCUUGUCUCUCUCUGCCUGGGAUCUUAAUUGUUUCCAGUGUCAAAUGAAGGACUGAGGAAAGAACCAAAGCUUCCCCAGUUCACUAACUGCUCUGGGAUUUACCCAGAAUUUUGACAGCAUUGAGAUUUGGAGUUGGCUUAGAAGAAGAGAAGAAGGGAAGUGGAGGUGCUGAGAGCUGGUCUGGAGUUAGCCCUGCUUCAGCCACAUUCACUUCCCUUUGUCUCUCAUGACCGGGCAAUGCAGUAGGCUUCCCAUGUUGUGUAUCUUCUUGUCUAUUAAACAGGGUUAUCCAGCUGAUUGAGGGCAUUUCUUUUUUUUUUUUUUUUUUCCAACCUCACUUUUUCCAAACUAGUUUAGAUCUUCCAGAGUGUGGUAGGCUGAAAAAUG
RNAcentral lists this long non-coding RNA (1772 nucleotides) under Homo sapiens (human). RNAcentral's name for it is "HSALNT0263736". Lineage: Eukaryota; Metazoa; Chordata; Mammalia; Primates; Hominidae. The record is from RNAcentral.